This 63-nucleotide transfer RNA is filed under the name Cerynia lineola. RNAcentral describes it as "tRNA-Phe". Lineage: Eukaryota; Metazoa; Arthropoda; Insecta; Hemiptera; Flatidae. The record is from RNAcentral.
AUUUGGGUAGCUUAAUUUAAAAAGUUUAAUGUUGAAAUCAUUAAGAUAGGGUUCUUCCAGAUA